RNAcentral lists this ribosomal RNA (761 nucleotides) under uncultured Lactobacillus sp. Its description in RNAcentral is "bacterial SSU rRNA". It matches the Rfam family "Bacterial small subunit ribosomal RNA", at positions 62 to 779 of the family's 1533-position model. Lineage: Bacteria; Bacillati; Bacillota; Bacilli; Lactobacillales; Lactobacillaceae. The record is from RNAcentral.
UCGAGCGCACUGGCCCAACUGAUAUGACGUGCUUGCACUGAAUUGACGUUGGAUUACCAGUGAGCGGCGGACGGGUGAGUAACACGUGGGCAACCUGCCCUGAAGCGGGGGAUAACAUCUGGAAACAGGUGCUAAUACCGCAUAACAACGAAAACCACAUGGUUUUCGUUUCAAAGAUGGUUUCGGCUAUCACUUCAGGAUGGGCCCGCGGUGCAUUAGCUAGUUGGUAAGGUAACGGCUUACCAAGGCGAUGAUGCAUAGCCGAGUUGAGAGACUGAUCGGCCACAAUGGAACUGAGACACGGUCCAUACUCCUACGGGAGGCAGCAGUAGGGAAUCUUCCACAAUGGGCGCAAGCCUGAUGGAGCAACACCGCGUGAGUGAAGAAGGGUUUCGGCUCGUAAAGCUCUGUUGUUGGAGAAGAACGUGCGUGAGAGUAACUGUUGUCGGCGUGACGGUAUCCAACCAGAAAGUCACGGCUAACUACGUGCCAGCAGCCGCGGUAAUACGUAGGUGGCAAGCGUUAUCCGGAUUUAUUGGGCGUAAAGCGAGCGCAGGCGGUUGCUUAGGUCUGAUGUGAAAGCCUUCGGCUUAACCGAAGAAGUGCAUCGGAAACCGGGCGACUUGAGUGCAGAAGAGGACAGUGGAACUCCAUGUGUAGCGGUGGAAUGCGUAGAUAUAUGGAAGAACACCAGCGGCGAAGGCGGCUGUCUGGUCUGCAACUGACGCUGAGGCUCGAAAGCAUGGGUAGCGAACAGGAUU